CUGAUAAGGUUGUUGCGUUCGAAGGACAACAGUUGAUACAUAGCUGAGCAUCAGGAUGAGCACAGCCAUUCGUUGUCGCUCACAUAUCGACAGACAAUACACUGGCCAUCACACAAGCAUAUAGAUGAGUACAGCAGGGACAUUACCAAGAAGCUGCGGCAGAACAAUGUGAACCUGGCAAAGGUUUAAAGCAUCAUUGGCACUUUUUUUGGCAGGAUGGAAAAUGUACCUUUCACAAAAAGAGCGCUGCGAAAUCUGUGUGGUAAAAUCAGCCGUGAACAAGCGGAGAAUGAUGCCAGAAAAACAAUGGAAGUGUUUCAGGAACUGUGUUCCAAGGAUCCCCAGUUCACUUAUUGUGUUCAGGCUAACAACGAAGGGCGGAUCAGUAGUCUUAUGUAGGCUAGUGAUAACAGCAGGUUGCAGUGCACCUUCUUUGGGGAUGUUGUGACAUUUGAUACAACCUACAAGACCAGAGGGACAAUGCUUAACAGAACCCAUUUAGUUACAGGCAUUUCAAUAUGUAUAUGCAUGCUAUGGAGCUUGUACGCAUGGGCGAUAGUAGUGUCGAAGCAUACUAGCAUCUCCUCACAUUGUUCAAGAAAUGUGCUGCUGAAAUGA
Molecule: ribosomal RNA, 618 nt
Filed under: Triticum aestivum (bread wheat)
Lineage: Eukaryota; Viridiplantae; Streptophyta; Magnoliopsida; Poales; Poaceae
Description: partial small subunit ribosomal RNA
Source: RNAcentral